Molecule: non-coding RNA, 145 nt
Organism: Gossypium hirsutum (cotton)
Lineage: Eukaryota; Viridiplantae; Streptophyta; Magnoliopsida; Malvales; Malvaceae
Source: Rfam
UAUUCAAAAUUUUAUCUAUUUCUACUGUUAAAAACUGGUAUGACGAACAUAAUAACCAAAAAGUUACAUGUGGCGUGCUACGUGUACCUCAUUCUAACAUACUGGGACCUAUUUUUAACAAUAGAAAUGAGUAGAAUUUUUAACA